GGGAGCUCAGGUGCAAGCAAUGGACCUGAUUGACUGGAAGGAUCCACCCCUUCCCAGACCUCAUUGAAGAGUCGGCAGUGGAGGUGAGGGUGUCUCCUGGUGGAGAUCCCUGCCUACCUGAGGCCUUCCAAAGGUUUUCCUGAAGCAGAUUGAUGAAGAGUGGCUAUAGAUCCCAUAAGUCUCACCCUACAGCAACUGUCGUAUGGUUUCCAGUUUGUACCAAAAUUACUCCGGUAUCAAACAGGCUAAGGCCCAACACUUGCAGACCUGCCAGGUUAGCAAAUGGAAAAGCAGUUCAUGAAACCUAAAGAUGGAAAGAAAGCAAGCCAAAUGCCAUAUGGACAAACUGCCAGUUCAAAAGCUUUUGCAAGUUUUGGUGUCCUUUAGAAUGUCUGGGUUGACUGAAUUUUCCUCUUGAUCAAAUACUGUGUCAGACAUCUACAAGGUCAAGCCUUGGGAACACUUCUCAAGUUAGAGAGGAUGUUUUUGACCUUAAUUCAUUUCUUUGUUUUAGUGUAAUGAGUCCAGUGAUUACCAGAAUUACAUAAGAUAUGCUCUGCUAUUGCAUUUUUUAAUACAGUACCCCCAAGGGAAACUAGGAAAAGGUAAAUAACAUCAGAGAUGUGAUGCAAGGAAAACAGAAGUCUACAAGAGCAGAAGCAUGGCGACUUACGUAGCUCGAUAGGAAAAGCUACUUCUGGGCACCCUUCCAAAAGACAGUAUUAAUUAGCAAGUACAUCUAGGUCCUGAUUUCACAGUCCUCCAGUAGUCUUCAGAGUGGCAAGAAAUUGCAGCAGCCUUGGCAGCUAUUACGAAAGAUUCCCAUUUCACUAAGAAGGCUGUCUGUCAUCCUUCCCAGCUGAAAGGAAUAAUAAAGUAAAGGAACUUUCUUUUCCUGUCUUAUUUCAUUAGUUUUGGCUCACAGAGAUCACCCCCACAAGAUUUCAGCAUGCACUGCACAGUGGCUGCAUGAACUCUCCAGCCAGUUUAGAAUAAUACAUAUUUGGCAGAGUUCAUACCAGACAGCGUUGCAUAUAUCAUGGUUUCUGUAUUAAUAGUAAUUUACUAAUAAACUAAUAGUAGUUUAGUCUAACUAGUCAUUUUCUCUCUUUUUUACCUUAUUAGACAGAUCAAAUACAAUGUAUCUCAAAAAUACGCUGUUCCAUUGUUGGUUCUUUGCAAAUAUGUCUCUAUUUCAAUGGGGUUACAGACCACAUAAAAUUUUCAUAUAACUGAAAUGAGCUGUGUAGGGUAAAAGUAAAUGCCAGCAGGCAUCUAAAUAUUGUAGCAUCUGUUAUAUUUUACACUCUGUGAUCACAAAUCUUAUAAAGCUUCACUGCAUUUUAGCAGUAUUCUUCACAAACUAUUGAAGAUUGAUGGCUAGUGUAAUUGCCAUAUCUGAUAUGCUAUCAUUUUUAAUAUACUGAACUUCUCCAACAGCCCCUUUCUUUGUACUGUCAACCUAUGUCUAUAUUAUGUUCCCAUAAAGCACAUAUUG
Gallus gallus (chicken) is the source of this 1498-nucleotide long non-coding RNA. Lineage: Eukaryota; Metazoa; Chordata; Aves; Galliformes; Phasianidae. The record is from Ensembl.